CAAAUUUUAGCUCUUGCAGCUAUCAUUGACCACUUGUGAACUGCGGGGUUUCGGCCUCGCAUCAAUUCAUUAACGUUUCAAUCAAAUCUGCUUAUAGAAUGGCAUA
RNAcentral lists this unclassified non-coding RNA (106 nucleotides) under soil metagenome. RNAcentral describes it as "partial internal transcribed spacer 1". The record is from RNAcentral.